RNAcentral lists this ribosomal RNA (19 nucleotides) under ascomycete sp. MA 4697. Its description in RNAcentral is "18S ribosomal RNA". The record is from RNAcentral. Lineage: Eukaryota; Fungi; Ascomycota.
UAGGUGAACCUGCGGAGGG